Molecule: long non-coding RNA, 605 nt
Filed under: Mustela putorius furo (domestic ferret)
Lineage: Eukaryota; Metazoa; Chordata; Mammalia; Carnivora; Mustelidae
Description: lncRNA (ENSMPUG00000026513.1)
Source: RNAcentral
GGCUGGGGAGGUUUCACUGAGGACAGAGCCCAGCCAGUAGGAUAAGAGCCAGGAGGCACGCAGAGAGGAGGUGGCUGACCCAUGCAGAAUGCCGGGGAGCAGGUGUCCCGUCAGGAGACUGAUGUGUAGGUUUUCUUUUUCAGGGCCUGAGGCUGCCAAGCACGGGAAGGGACCUGGGACCUUGGAGUUGGCUGAAUCCAAUUGCCCUGUUCUGCUCUGUGAUGCCUCAGAUUGGCCACGCUGGCUGCAGAGAGCACUGGGCCCUGAGCAAAUGAAGUGGGGGAGAAGGUCUGCUGUCCUCUCUGACUAGGCUGGUGACAGACAGCCCCGUCUGCAGGAAAGAAGGGACAGAAGGAUAUGUGGUUGUUGAGGGAUUGAUUCAGCAAAGCUCAUCCUGUUGGAUGGCAUUUUUAAAAGCUUGUUUUGAGGGCGCCUGGGUGGUUCUGUUGGUUAGGUGUCCGACUCUUGGUUUUGGCUCAGGUCAUGAUCAGGUCGUGAGAUCGAGCCCCUUGUCAGGCUCUGUGCUCAGCACGGAGCCUGCUGAAGAUUCUCCAUCUCCCUCUCCCUCUGCCCCUCUUGUCCUCUAAAAUAAAUAAAAUGAGAUA